UAAUGUCUGGGAAACUGCCUGAUGGAGGGGGAUAACUACUGGAAACGGUAGCUAAUACCGCAUAACGUCGCAAGACCAAAGAGGGGGACCUUCGGGCCUCUUGCCAUCAGAUGUGCCCAGAUGGGAUUAGCUAGUAGGUGGGGUAAUGGCUCACCUAGGCGACGAUCCCUAGCUGGUCUGAGAGGAUGACCAGCCACACUGGAACUGAGACACGGUCCAGACUCCUACGGGAGGCAGCAGUGGGGAAUAUUGCACAAUGGGCGCAAGCCUGAUGCAGCCAUGCCGCGUGUGUGAAGAAGGCCUUCGGGUUGUAAAGCACUUUCAGCGAGGAGGAAGGUGGUGAGCUUAAUACGUUCAUCAAUUGACGUUACUCGCAGAAGAAGCACCGGCUAACUCCGUGCCAGCAGCCGCGGUAAUACGGAGGGUGCAAGCGUUAAUCGGAAUUACUGGGCGUAAAGCGCACGCAGGCGGUUUGUUAAGUCAGAUGUGAAAUCCCCGGGCUCAACCUGGGAACUGCAUUUGAAACUGGCAAGCUAGAGUCUCGUAGAGGGGGGGUA
RNAcentral lists this ribosomal RNA (557 nucleotides) under Serratia marcescens. RNAcentral describes it as "bacterial SSU rRNA". It matches the Rfam family "Bacterial small subunit ribosomal RNA", at positions 111 to 664 of the family's 1533-position model. Lineage: Bacteria; Pseudomonadati; Pseudomonadota; Gammaproteobacteria; Enterobacterales; Yersiniaceae. The record is from RNAcentral.